Long non-coding RNA from Passer montanus (Eurasian tree sparrow), 531 nucleotides. RefSeq lists it as uncharacterized. Lineage: Eukaryota; Metazoa; Chordata; Aves; Passeriformes; Passeridae. The transcript has 3 exons. The record is from RefSeq and is a predicted model, not a curated record.
CUGGUUAAACUUGUGCAGUCUGUUAACUUGUGUGCUUGCAAAAAGGCCUGCAGAGAGAACAAAGGAAGUUCAAGGCCAUUUAGAAAAGGAGUGCAAGCAUCCAAGCUGAAGAGGAGGCCCCCACCGUCGGAAAAAGUGAAUCUGGGUUACAACUGAGUGCACGGCCUCAUCCCUGUGCUUGUCAUCCCCUUGCCAACCCCUCAGUGACUUUGUCUCCAUCCCUGGAAGUGCCAUCACAGACCCAGCCUUGCCAUCCACUUGUCAACCCCUCAGUGACUUUGUCUCCAUCCCUGGAAGUGCCAUCACAGACCCAGGUAAGAUCCCAGCAUCGGCGGGGGUUUUAGGCACAUUGCUGCAGCCCACUUUUUGUGUCCAGGGCCAGGAGUGGCCGGCUGCCUGCUGAAAUUCCAAACGGAUCAGGAUGCCUCCCAGAUGCAAGGUGCCCCUACAGGCAACUGUGGCUGGUUUGACAGUGCCAAGUGCCUCCUGCAAGCUGACAUCAGGAACCUGGGCUGCGGAGUUUCGGUGAAA